UGUGCAGGCGGUUGCUUAAGUUUGGUGUGAAAUCUCCCGGCUCAACCGGGAGGGUGCGCCGAAUACUGAGCGGCUAGAGUGCGGGAGAGGAGAGUGGAAUUCCUGGUGUAGCGGUGAAAUGCGUAGAUAUCAGGAGGAACACCGGUGGUGCAGACGGCUCUCUGGACCGUGACUGACGCUGAGACACGAAAGCGUGGGUAGCAAACAGGAUUAGAUACCCUGGUAGUCCACGCCCUAAACGAUGCAUAUUUGGUGUGGGUCAUUCAGUUGAUCCGUGCCGGAGCUAACGCGUUAAAUAUGCCGCCUGGGGAGUACAGUCGCAAGGCUGAA
Molecule: ribosomal RNA, 330 nt
Filed under: uncultured bacterium
Lineage: Bacteria
Description: bacterial SSU rRNA
Rfam family: Bacterial small subunit ribosomal RNA
Source: RNAcentral